UAACGCGUGGGAAUCUGCCCUGGAGUGUGGGAUAACCGAGGGAAACUUCGGCUAAUACCGCAUACGACCUGAGGGUGAAAGAUUUAUCGCUCUAGGAGGGGCCCGCGUCGGAUUAGCUAGCUGGUGGGGUAAUGGCCUACCAAGGCAGUGAUCCGUAGGUGGUUUGAGAGGAUGAUCAGCCACACUGGGACUGAGACACGGCCCAGACUCCUACGGGAGGCAGCAGUGGGGGAUAUUGGACAAUGGGCGAAAGCUUGAUCCAGCAAUGCCGCGUGAGUGAUGAAGGCCUUAGGGUUGU
Molecule: ribosomal RNA, 298 nt
Filed under: uncultured Sphingomonadaceae bacterium
Lineage: Bacteria; Pseudomonadati; Pseudomonadota; Alphaproteobacteria; Sphingomonadales; Sphingomonadaceae
Description: partial 16S ribosomal RNA
Rfam family: Bacterial small subunit ribosomal RNA
Source: RNAcentral